UAUAUACUACCUCCGUUCGAAAAUACUUGUCAUAAGAAUGGAUGUAUCUAGAUGUAUUUUAGAUCUAGAUAUAUUCUUUUUUAUUCAAUUAUGUGAUAAGUAAUUCUGAACGGAGGGAGUAAUUU
Molecule: non-coding RNA, 125 nt
Organism: Hordeum vulgare subsp. vulgare (domesticated barley)
Lineage: Eukaryota; Viridiplantae; Streptophyta; Magnoliopsida; Poales; Poaceae
Source: Rfam